This is a long non-coding RNA of Haemorhous mexicanus (house finch), 1072 nucleotides long. RefSeq lists it as uncharacterized. The record is from RefSeq and is a predicted model, not a curated record. Lineage: Eukaryota; Metazoa; Chordata; Aves; Passeriformes; Fringillidae. The transcript is spliced from 3 exons.
GUGGCACAGCCCCAAGGCAGCCGCUCGCUCCGUCCAGGUGGAAAUCCAGCUCUCCCAGAAAUCCAGCUCUCCCAGCUCCGCCGGCCACUCGCAGCAUCCGGGACGGGCUUCGGGUCCGUGCCCGCCGCGGAGCCUUCAUCCCCGCGCUCAUCCCAUCCUCACCGCUCCGGACAGACGGUGCAGGGAGAGCUCUGCAGGAGAGUGAGGGAUGGCCAAGAACCCCCGCAUCUCCCUGGAUGCUUUCCAGGGAGCCGGCACCCAAGUGACCACAUCCAGAAACCGCUGGCUCCAGACGCCAGUGCAUCCCAAAACGGGUAUUGGAGUCUAAUCCCGGCGCUCGCCGUCAGCAGCUGCAGCUGGGACAGGCACCCAGGCAAGAACCUGGGGAAAACAGCGACCCGAGAGCAGCAGCACAAGGCGGGGGUGUGCGGGGAGCCCCGGGGAAGGGCAGUCCUUCAAUCCGCUCCGCACCCACGGACACGGCCACCCGCGCCCUCCUCCUGGGGAGCGCACUUGGGGACCCCCCGCUUCCCCCGCCCGGCUCCCCAGACACAGCCGCAGGGACAAGCUCCCACUUGCAAGACUACAAAGGAAGGAAGAAAAACCCACGGAAGCCAGACCCGGCUGCAAAACUCUCGGUCACGGCUGCAGACAGUAAAAUAAUUAACAGAACGAAACUAUUCACGGAGUUCCUUUGGGCUUGACUCUCUGUGUGGAAGGAGCCAACAAUGGCAUAGAAGCAAAAUUACCCCUAAAAAGGGCCGAGAGGCUGAAAAACAGAUGGAAGUGGGAGCUGAGUUAUGUACCAGAUAUCCCUCAGACUGGUGGGAAAGAGAGAAAAUUCAUGCAGACAAUGGAAAAAAAUAUUUGUGCAGCUUACAGAGACUCGUCCAGGGGGACUGAGCUGUUGCUGGAAGGAACCUCUGACUCCAGCUUGCCUCAUCCAUUCGGGAAGCAGCGUGAGUGGAGCCUAAGCCACCUGGCUCUGGGAAGGAGGGUGCUUUUCUCUGCACCUUCUCUCUAACUCUUAACAGCUUUUAAUAAAAUUCUGGCAACUUGGCACAUUUGAAAA